AGGAUGAACGCUGGCGGUAUGCCUAACACAUGCAAGUCGUACGAGAGUUUAUAACUCAAGUGGCGGACGGGUGAGUAACACGUGAGAAUUUACCUUUAGGAGGGGGAUAACACCUGGAAACGGUUGCUAAUACCCCAUAUGCUUUCGAGUGAAAUAGAUUUUUCUGCCUAAAGAAAAGCUCGCGGCUGAUUAGCUUGUUGGUAAGGUAAUGGCUUACCAAGGCGACGAUCAGUAUCUGGUUUGAGAGGACGAUCAGACACAUUGGAACUGAGACACGGUCCAGACUCCUACGGGAGGCAGCAGUGGGGAAUUUUCCGCAAUGGGCGAAAGCCUGACGGAGCAAUACCGCGUGAGGGAAGACGGCCCAUGGGUUGUAAACCUCUUUUUCAGUGAGGAACAAUGACGUGUAACUGAAGAAUAAGACAUCGGCUAACUCCGCGCCAGCACGCCGC
Molecule: ribosomal RNA, 452 nt
Filed under: uncultured bacterium
Lineage: Bacteria
Description: SSU rRNA
Rfam family: Bacterial small subunit ribosomal RNA
Source: RNAcentral